This is a long non-coding RNA of Phyllopteryx taeniolatus (common seadragon), 11667 nucleotides long. RefSeq lists it as uncharacterized. The transcript is spliced from 3 exons. The record is from RefSeq and is a predicted model, not a curated record. NCBI's taxonomy places the organism in Eukaryota, Metazoa, Chordata, Actinopteri, Syngnathiformes, Syngnathidae.
AUACAUACACACACACAUAAAAAAAAUAGCCUAGUUUUAAGGGUGGCUUCUUGUGCCACAAUUCUUGCUGCAUAAUUUUCAGGGCCAUGCCUACAAUUCUAACGGUGUAUUCUAGCAAAAUUAUUCGUAAAAAAUGUUAACACUCAACUCAUUCCCUGCCAAUGCUGCCCAAAGACGUUAUUCAGAAUCGAGCUAUUCCCUGACAAUGCCUUCUAAAGACGUCAAUGGUGUUUUUUAACGGGGAUGACUGGGUGAGGGUCUUGUGCAGUUUGUGUGAUCGCCAAGCCUCUAGAUAACUGCAAUGAGGAAUGGCACCCUGUAGAGGGCAACAAUGCCUUAAGGUAAACGUCCCUCCCUCAGAGGAAGAGGAGGAGGAGGCGGGGUGCAAGAGACGGUGAGAAAAGACCAGCAUAAAGGUGGAAAAGAGAGAAGACAAAAUGAGAAAAAUCUAAAAAAAAAAAAAAAAAAAAAGCUUUUGGCUUUAGAAAUUUAUUGCGCCAAGGCAAGAAAAAUAUUCCUGUGACCGACAGGAAAGACGCCUUAGAUCAUGCGGGGGGGAAUAAAGGGUGACGCUCCGAGCUGAUCGCUUUCUUGCAAAGCUAUCGCCCAAAAUGUCGGGCCAUAUGGCGAGAUGCUCUCGGCCGCUUGCCAGCUUAUCGUGUGCCGACCAGAAUUUGAGUAAAGGGGAUCAGGAAUCGUCAGAUGAGUGAACUCCCUCUGGAUCGCCAGCCAAGCUUCAUCCCGAGAUCCUCCGGAUGAUAUGGAAACGAAGGUAACUCGUUUGCACCUCACGUUAGCUACAUUUAGCGAGCAAACACGCUCUGUGAAAUUUUGUCCCUCUAGUUCACAUUACAAUGUCAUAUCUGUUGCCAGUACUGAUUUGAAUUUUCCAUUUCCAGCUCGUCCAUCUUCAUCAUCCAACACCCGCGAGUCGAACGUCUUUUAGGAUUGCAACGACAAAGUUAUGCAUUUCAGCCGACGUUCAACUCCCACUCCAGUACACAAUGCAGACAAAAAAGAUUUAAAAAUAAAUCACAGGCAUAAGUAUUCAGACCCUUUGCUGUGACACUCAUAUAUUGGUGCUGUCCAUUUCUUCUUCUCAUCCUUGAGAUUGUUUUACAACUUCAUUGGAGUCCAGCUGUGUUUGAUUAUACUGAUUGGACUUGAUUAGAAAACCCACACACCUGGCCAUAUAAGACCUUACAGCAGUGCAUGUCAGAGCAAAUGAGAAUCAUGAGGUCAAAGGAACUGCCUGAAGAGCUCAGAGACAGAAUUGUGGCAAGGCGCAGAUCUGGCUACAUAAAACAUUCUGUUGCACUUAAGGUUCCUAAGAGCACAGUGGGCUCCAUAAUCCUUAAAUGGAAGACGUUUGGGACAACCAGAACCCCUCCUAGAGCUGGCCGUCCGGCCAAACUGAGCAAUUGGGGGAGAGGAGCCUUGGUGAGAGAGGUAAAGAAGAACCCAAAGAUCACUGUGGCUGAGCUCCAGAGAUUCAGUCGGAAGAUGGGAGAAAGUUCUAGAAAGCCAACCAUCACUGCAGCCCUCCACCAGUCCGGGGAUUUAUGGCAGAGUGGCCCGACGGAAGCCUCCUGUAGGUACAGGACGACUGAUUGCAAUCAAAGGAAAUAUGAAUGUGGCCAUGUACAGGGAUAUACUGGACGAAAACCUUCUCCAGAGCGCUCAGGACUUCAGAUUGGGCCGAAGGUUCACCUUCCUACAAGACAAUGACCCUCAGCGCACAGCUAAAAUAACAAAGGAGUGGCUUCAGAACAACUCUGACUCUUCUUGAGUGGCCCAGCCAGAGCCUUGACUUGAACCCAAUUGAGCAUCUCUGGAGAGACCUGCAAAUUGCUCUCCACCAUCGUUCACCAUCCAACCUGACAGAACUGGAGAGGAUCUGCAAGGAGGAAUGGCAGAGGAUCCCCAAAUCCAGGUGUGAAAAACUCGUUGCAUCCUUCUCAAAAAGAUACAUGGCUGUAUUAGCUCAAAAGGGUGCUUGUACUAAAUACUGACCAAAGGGUCUGAAUACUUAUGGCUGUGUGAUAUUUCAGUUUUCCUUUUUUUAAUCUGCAAAAAUUUCAACAAUUCAGUUAUUUUUCUGUCAAUUUGAGGUGCCGUGUGUAUAUUGAGGAAAAAAAACAACUUAAUUUUAGCAAAUGGCUGCAAUAUAACAAAAAGUGAAACAUUUAGGGGGUCUGAAUACUUUGCAUACCCACUGUAUGUGUCAGUAUGUCCACAGCAAAAGCUAAAUCACAAAGCCAAUCUGUGUUACUCAGCUCAGGAAAAUCGUUGGUUUUCUCCAGUAACGCCAAAAAAGAGAUCCUGUUUGCGCUCCGAUACUCGAUCGCACACUUUCCCUGAACUUAACCAGUAGACAUUUGAGUGGUAAAUUAUUUAGUUAUCCAGUUCAGGAUCGCGAGGCGCUGGAGCCCAUCCCAGCUGACUUCGAGCCAAAGGCAGACUACACCCUGAACUGGUCCACAGUCAGUCGCAGGGUGCACAUAGACACGGACAGCCAUUCUCACUCACAUUCAAACCGUCACCGAGUGGGAACUGACCUCACGCUGCCCGCAUCAAAGUUAGGUGAGUGCACCACUACUAAUCAGUGACUGAUUUAGCGAGCCAUCUGUGGUAAUGUUGGCAAGCGUACUCCAAGGUAGCUUGUGCCUCUUGAUGACACCCGACACACUGUCAUACAAAUUCUCUCCUCGCGUUUUUACGUUCAGGGAUUCCAUGCCCAAAAACUCCUCAGUUAUCUCGAAAUAUUCAUUAAUUCCUCUGAUUAAAAAUUAAAAGCUGAGUGGUAUUUGUCAUCACUUUGGUCCAGUACCAAGGAAUACAAUGUAAAUGACUGCUUUUUUUGUUUAGCUUGUUAGCUAAGUCUUCAUUUAUUUGCUCAACACAGCGAUUCACUCUCCUGGGUGAUAAGCUGAUGUUUUCAAAUGUGUUCUUGCUCUCAGGACACAAGACACUUGCUCUCUCUACCAUGCAUUCUUUCAGAAACUCUCCUUGGGAAAGAGGCUUGCUGGUCUUUUCUAGUUUGAAUGCCAGCAAAAAACUAGCCUUGGUGACUGAAUAUUGGAUGGCAGUUUGUCAGAUGAUUUUGUUUUGCAGAGCCUGCAAGCUUGAUUUUAAGCGCUGAGCUGGAUCCAUCAGUUCCUGCAUGGACUGGUUGUUAGAAUAAUCAGCAUGCUUGGUUGAAAAGUGACGUCUGAUGUUAUAUUCCUCUAAAACCGCAAUGGUUUCUUAACAAAUAAGACAUAACAGCCUUUGACUAGACUACAGUGAAAAAGUAUUUAGUAGUCCAUUCUAUAUUAAACACUCGGCACUCACUGUCGACUUUUCUUUUGCCCACUCAUGGGUGAAGAAGAGUUCAGAGCAGUUGCAGAGUAAAAACAGAACAGCCAAAGUCAAGUCAAUGUCAACAUACCUACUGCGCUACCUGGUGGAACCACUGGGCAUUACAGGACAAGGUCUAAUGAAUGUAGUCAUGAUUUUGAUAUGAUUUGGGCGAUUCUGUACCUUUGGCGGGCCGGAUUACUGGAUUGAAAUUAUCAAUGGGCUGGAUGUGGCCCGCGGGCCUUAGUUUGCCCAUCCCUGGUCUAGCUAUUUGUAGAUGUGAGGUUGGGGUGGGGGCAAACCCGGUGAGGACAUGCAAUAACUAACCAAGAGAACAAGAGAGGACAGAAAAGGCCAGGACAGGAUGUGGGAAAAUGAGCAAGGCAGCGUUACUGAAUAGUGGUGCGGUGGGAUUCUUUCUUUUUUUUUAGUGUCUAAACACCUGUGAACCUGUGAGUUGAUAUGGUAGUAUAACCUGUGCUGUUGUUAGUGAUUCCCACCACAAGUAAUUCAAGCCUAUAGUGUGGCUAUCGAACAUAUUAGUGAAUGAACACCAUAUCACAUGCAUGUUAGUCAACUGGUGUACGGAGUUGCUGAGCCGGCACAUCGAGGAAGGCUGAGCUCCCCCAGUUCCCCCCCUCCACCCACAAGGGAAGGGCUGAGUCAGCAAGCCGAUCCAGCAGGGGACCCAACCAGGGGGACGCCACCGACCCGCCCUAGGACCCAGGGAGGUCCUGAGCCCGACCAAACAGGGCACCGGACCACCACCGUCACUGCCCCCACCACCCCCGAAGAGCUUGGGGGCCCCAGCCCAACGCACGAGGGCCCAACACAGGAGCCAGCAGCCAUCCAAAAAUGGUCAUAACCCACCAAAGCAACUCCAUGUUAGGCGCCCGUCGUGAGCAAGGAAGGACAGGCGAGGGUGCCAAGAUCGGGGAGAGGAAGGCAGAGCCCAAAGGGGUGGAGUGGGCGGGAGGGGGGGGGGGGGGCAGAUGUGCCAGCACCCGGCCUGGCGCCCGCCCCACCAUACCAUGUUUAAAUUAAGAAUAACAGCGAUUCAAUCACAGCAAAGCUUAUUUAUGUAUCAAAUAAUAAUGAGAAAUCCGACCGAAUAUCCGAUAGAAUAGCUUGGAAAAAGGGCAUGCAGUGAUCUUGCAAACCUGAUAAAAGGACUUCAAAGAUAAGGAAAAUAUAUAUUUUUUAAUUCAUGGUAUGGGUCCUUUAAAACUUUACAUUUACAUUUUUGAAUGAAAACAAAUUGAAACAACAACAAACUUUUAAAAUUCUUUUUGGAUUGAAUGUGAAAUCCUUUAACUUAUUGAAACCAAUAAGUGCUCUUUUUAGAGCACUGGAAAAUGAGACUGAUGUAACCGUUAUCGCAGGUGCUUCUGAUCUCUCAGGGCCUUUACCCCCCCCACCUUCUUUACACACAAAACAAACGCUGUCUAAUUUAGCGAGAAAUGCUAUGUCUGAUUAAGUAGUUGGUUUGGAAAUGUUAUUGACAAAAAUUGACCAGUGGCUCAUUGAGUUUUCAGGUUGUAAUUGAACGUAGACACAAGUGAUUUCAUAAGCAGACGUACUGUAUGUGUGCGGCGCAAUAUGCGUACACCUGUACAUUAAAUUGCUACGUCAUCGGGGUGAGUUAAAACAAAACAUCGGUUCCCCUAAAUUAUCAGAGUGAUCGAUUUAGUUUCUGUACCUCAGUAAUGUUUGUUUGCCCAACAAACAAAGCACGAAACCAUCCGGAAAAAUAACAUACGUGGUUGUGUUCACCUCCUCCUCACUGUAUGUAAUUAAGUAGCCAAUUCACCCACCCAUCCAUCCAUCCAUUUUCUACCGCUUAUCCGAGGUCGCGUCGCAGGGGCAGUAGCUUUAGCAGGGACGCCCAGACUUCCCUCUCCCCAGCCACUUCAUCCAGCUCUUCCGUGGGGAUCCCGAGGUGUUCCCAGGGCAGCCGAAAGACGUAGUCUCUCCAGCGUGUCCUGGGUCGUCUCCGGGGUCUCCUCCCGGUGGGGACGUGCCCGGAACACCUCACCAGGGAGGCGUCCGAAUCAGAUGCCCCAGCCACCUCAUCUGGCUCCUCUCGAUGUGGUGGAGCAGCGGCUCUACUCUGAGAUCAUCCCGGAUGACCGAGCUUCUCACCCUAUCUCUAAGGAAGAGACACCCUGCGGAGGAAACUCAUUUAGGCCGCUUGUAUCCGGGAUAUUAUUCUUUCGGUCACGACCCACAGCUCGUGCCCAUAGGUGAGGCUAGGAAUGUACAUCGACCGGUAAAUCGAGAGCUUCGCCUUUCGGCUUAGCUCCUUCUUCACCACAACGGACCGAAACAAAGUCCACAUCACUGCAGACGCUGCACCGUUCCGCCUGUCGAUCUGCCGUUCCAUUCUUCCCUCACUCCUUAACAAGAACCCAAGAUACUUGAACUCCUCCACUUGGGGCAGGAUCUCAUCCCCGUCCUGGAGAGGGCACGCCACCCUUUUCCGACUGAGGACCAUGGUCUAAGAUUUGAAGGUGCUGAUUCUCAUUCCAGCCACUUCACACUCUGCUGUGAACCGCUCCAGUGAGAGUUGGAGAUCACGGCCUGAUGAAGCCAACAGAACCACAUCAUCUGCAAAAGGCAGAGAUGCAAUACUGAGGCCACCAAACCGGACCCCUCUACGCCUCGGCUACGCCUAGAAAUUCUGUCCAUAAGUUAUGAACAGAAUCGGUGACAAAGGGCAGCCUUGGCGGAGUCCAACCCUCACCGGGAACGAGUCCGACUUACUGCCGGAUAUGCGGACCUAACUCUGACUCCGGUCGUACAGGGACUGAACAGCCCGUAUCAGGGGUUUCGGUACCCCAUACUCCCGAAGCACCCCCCCACAAGAGCACCUGAGGAAUACGGUCGAUCGCCUUCUCCAAGUCCAGACUGGUUGGGUGACUGGUAGACUGGUUGGGUGAACUCCCAUGCACCCUCGAGGAUCCUGCCGAGGGUGUAGAGCUGGUCCACUGUUCCACGCCCAGGAUGAAAACCCCACACUGCUCCUCCUGAAUCUGAGAUUCGACUUCCUGAUGGACCCUCCUCUCCAGUACCCUUGAAUAGACCUUGCCAGGGAGGCUGAGGAGUGUGAUCCCCCUGUAGUUGGAACACACUCUCCGGUCCCCCUUCUUAAAAAGGGGGACCACCACCCCAGUCCGAUUUGCAGAGGCAUGUCAACCAGGACAGACCCACAACGUCCAGAGCCUUUAGGAACGCUGAGCGAAUCUCAUCCACCCCCGGGGCCUUGCCACCGAGGAGCUUUUUCACCACCUGUGAACAUAGAGCUUAUGUGCCUUGCCAAAAGGUUCCAGUUUUGUCUCAUCUGUCCAUAGGACGUUCUCCCAGAAGCUUUGUGGCUUGUCAUUAUGUAGUUUGGCAAAUUCCAGUCUUUCUUUUUUGUAUGAUUUUCAACAGUGGUGUCCUCCUUGGUCGUCUCCCAUGAAGUCCACUUUGGCUUAAACGGCAACGGAUGGUGCGAUCUGACACUGAUGUACCUUGAUCUUGAAGUUCACCUUUAAUUUCUUGGGAGGUUGUUCUGGGCUCGUUUGUUUCUAAUCUCCUGAGAUGACUCUUCUUUUCUUCCUCUGGACCAUGUUUAGUGUACUACACUCCAUGUCACCCAAAAGCACAGUGAUUUUAAAUAGGCUUACUGAUUAUACAUUUGAAGAUACCUGCAAUGCUAAUUAGAGGACACGACUUGCUUGAACAUGUCCCUAUGGUGAAAUUUUCUUUUCAGAUGUUGGGAACAACCCAAGUAAUCCAUACAUACAAAGAAAGUAGAAAAAUAAAAUCUGAAAUUAUGUGUAAUAAUGUGAAAUGACACAGGGAAAAAGUAUUGAACACGCCAACUGGUAUUUAUUUAAUACUUUGUACAAAAGCCUUUGUGUGCAAUGACAGGUUCAAGAUGCCUCCUGUAUGGAGAAACUGGUCGCAUGCAUUGUUCCGGUGUGAUUUUGGCCCAUUCCUCCACACAAGCCGUCUUCAAUUUGUAUAUUACUGUAUUUUCCUCUCUGAACACAUCCUAAUUUGCCUGUAUUUUGCUCUUCAAAGCUGGCUAUUCUCCUUCAUAACGUGGUUCCAGCCAGACCAAUGUGCCAAGUGUACUGUACUACCAAUCAUUUAUUUUGGGGUUUGUGACGUCAUGUGAUAUAGCUGAGCGAUUAGCAUGAUGUUUCUGUCAGACUGUCUUUUUAUUUUUAUUUUUUUAUUUUUUUAUUUAAUUUUUUAAAUUAUUGCUCAUCCAAAACUCAAAGCUACAUUAUCGGUAUCAGAUCGGAAGUGGAAAAAGUUGGAUCAGGGCAUCCCUUGAAAAAAAAACAUGUCCACACGUAACAAGAGUGUUGACAGACUUGAGUUGAAAGUAAUCCCAUACUGUGAUAAAGACUUUCUGCGACGUGACACCACCUCCAUGUUUUGACGUCCGCCACAAGACAUCAGAGGAAGCACCCUGAUCAAUGGAUUUGUGUCUGCCAUAACUGCAGAAACAUUACAAACCUCAUGCACACCUUAGUCUUGAACGCGAGAGUUUUACGUCUCACCAGACGAAUGGGGAAUAACAUGCAGACAGCUGAGGACCUCCGUGACCCUGGAGAGAAAAAACAAUUCCGCCAAGGCCACCUAUCGCCAAUAGGUAAUGUGGAAAAUCCCCAAGGACAUUAUAUUGGAUUCAGACAAAGCAGAGAGAACAAUUAUGCAGCUCGGAACCACGUCAUAUUUUCAAAGCCUCGUUCCACUACAAGUGUGCAUGGUAUAUUACUUUAUAUUUUUAGAUCCAUUAGCACUUUUUUUAUUCACUCCCAUAAUGUCUGCAUAUUUACCUAUACCAUUUUAGAAUUGUUAUAAGUUAAUUGAAAAUAAAUAUCCUUUAAAAUUAAAACUCAGAAAUCAAAGUGUUACCGUAAUUUCUCCUGCAUAAUGCUCAUCCCCCCCCCAAAAAGUCAAUAGUGCGCAUUAUACACAGGAGAAAAUGAAUGAGUUUCACAUUUUAUAAAUGUAUGCUGCAAUCUAGAGGUUAUGAAAAAGCUAUACUUUUUCUUUCCAAUAUGCCACUGCCCCCUAUAGGUUAUGAAAAAGUUGUACACUUUCAUUCAAGUAUGUCACCUAGUGGUAAUGAAAAAGGUGUACCCUACACUUUCAUUCCAAUAUGACAGGGGUACAUAUGACUGCAUAUAUGUACAGUUGUGCUCACAAGUUUAAAUACCCAGGCAGAAUUUGUGAAAUAUAUAUAUUUUUUAUUUAUUUCAAUGACUGAUGACUGAACAACAACCAUUUAUUUCUUUGUGGUUAUGUUUUGUUUAAUGAUAAUGCUUUUCUGAAAUGCUUGACAGUUUAAUUUGAAUCCCAUUAAAAUAAAAUGGGUUUUGCCUGGUCCUUUGUUUUCUUUAAAGGUCAGAUGACAAAGAUGUUAUGGGGUCAGUUAAAAUUCAUAUUUGCAUUGUUUAUGUAAUACAUGCAUGUAACUUCCAGCAAGUAUUCAACCAUAGUUUAGCAAAAAAAUAAAAUUUUUAUGACUCAUAUUGAGUCCUCCCCGAACAUACCCGAAUCUCAAGACACCAGGGUGUGGUUAUUCUAUCCACCACAAGGUCUACCAGAAGUGACGUUGCAAUUGACAAACACAGCGCGCUACACUCUAUACGCAAUGGUGAGCAACGUGUUGGAAUAUGAGGAGGAGGAGGAAUUCGACGUACAGGAGCACCCAUCUUGGCAUCGUCAAACCGUACAUCUGAGCCGAUCAGGAGGUCAAAACCUGACAGUGACUACAACGAGCAGCCAAGUAGCAGAAAAAGAGAGUGGCCACUGGGUCGAUGUGACGGUAUGUCAAAAGCAUGUCUUUUUAUACAGUCAUGGCUAGAAAAAUAGCACGGCAGGGGUGCAAUAUUUUUUAGCACGACUAUACGUAUUAUAUAUUCAUGUUUCAGUAACACUGCACAAGCUUUUACGUAGGAUGCAAUAUUCCUAUAUGUUGUGUGCCCCUCGCUCGAGUAGCGUUAUAACACGCCCCACAGAAAGUCUUAUUGGCUUGUCAUAUAGGCAAAAGUACAGACCGUACUGACAAGUACUGCGUGGGUCUUUUUUUCCCUACUCCCCAGUGCAUCGUAACCAUAAUAGAGUCAUAGGUAUAUACGAGGACAUCCCCGCCUCUUGUCUCCGCCGCUUCGCUGCUGCUUCGUGGCGGCUGCGAUAUUUAGUUCUGUUGCUGGCGGUUGAGGUCCCGAUGGCUUUAGGAAAAAUAGUUGGCACCGCAGCUGGUUUCAGCCUCUACCUCUGUAUACCUCUUUCUCAAAACACGCCGGUUCGAAGUGAUCAGCACGCUUGCUAGGCAGCCAUAGCUGACCACAUUUCUUCCCCUGUCGAGUGACUUUCCCCAUCCACUGGUCACGCAUUCCCUUUUCACUUGGAAAGCCAAGAAAAUCUUGCCACUGCCUGAAACAUUUGCAGAACCAAUUGCCACACAAUAAACCAUCGUGACAUCGUGAGACAACAAAUAUACAAGGACGGGAACAACAGCAUGGAACAAUAGCACACAACACCGAAUGAACAGGUUGUUUGGCUUGUGUGACGUCACAGCGCCGGAAAGAGACAAAAACCGGAAGGCACUGGAUGCAAAAAGCAUCAGGGGCAUUAUGCAUCAUAUUUAUCGAUUUAACUGCUGUAUAUUUGCUAUAUAAUCACUUCGAAAUGGCAGAUGUGGUUUGUAAAGGGGUUCUCGAGUUAUCAAGAUUUUUUAUUAAUUUUUUUAAAUCUUUGUCCUUUGACCUUUAAAGAAUUGUACACAUCAUUUGUACAUUGAGGAACAUUGUCCUUAAACUGUUGGACUAUUUUCUCACGCACUUGUUCACAAAGAGGUGAACCUCGCCCCAUCUUUGCUUGUGAAUGACUGAGCAAUUCAGGGAAGCUCCUUUUAUACCCAAUCAUGGCACCCCCCUGUUCCCAAUUAGCCUGUCCACCUGUGGGAUGUUCCAAACAGGUGUUUGAUGAGCAUUCCUCAACUUUCUCAGUCUUUUUUUGCCACCUGUCCUAGCUUUUUUGGAACGUGUUGCAGCCAUAAAAUUCUAAGUUCAUGAUUAUUUGCUAAAAACAAAGUUUAUCAGUUUCAGCAUUAAAUGUCUUUGUCGUGUAUUCAAUUAAAUAUAGGUUAAACAUGAUUUGCAAAUCAUUGUACUCUGUUUUUAUUUGUUUAACACAAUGUCCCAACUUCAUUGGAAUUGGGGUUGUACAGAGAUGAAAAAUGCCUGAUCUCCAUGGGGGUCUGACUUAUUCUGGAGAAGAAGGUUGUUUGGAUCUGAUUUGCAGCCGCAACCCCACACAUAUCAGUCAGAUUUGGAGAUAAGAUUCUUCAUGGGUGGAGGAGGGGCCCUUCGUAUCUUAGUGGACAUUGGUUUUAGGCGAGGGCCAACGGGAGGAAUGUAUUGGCGUGGUGUGCAGUGGAUUCCAACAUUAACAAGGGCCUUCAUCCUGUCCGUCACAUCUAAUAGAGUAAGCUAGAUGAUAGUGAGUGUUGUCUUGGGCUUUGCUCCAAUGGAGAGAUUCCAAGUGCUGCCUCAUCUCAUUCCUCAUUCGUUCUUCCGAUUGUUUGGGUGACGCUGGUUACUCCAUCUGUGCCUCGUGUCGUCUUCUCUUGUUCCUUCGAUUGUUUAGGUACAACUGGAGACGACUCCUGCGGCUUUUGUCCUUCAGCCCUGCCAACAAGGCGAAUGUUUUCCUUUCGUGCCGCAGAGUGGUGUACACGGUAAAAAAUGUCAGCCAGUAACCUAACCCCUUUUUUAUUGAGACAGAAACCAUCUGCCUUGUAAAGAUGUCUGCACUCCCAAAAAAUGAAGAAAUUGUCAAUGAAGCUCACGAAUAGCGCAAUACACACUUUUUUGAGCCACUUAUUUAAUUGACUGAGCCUGCUGAAACGUUCAUCUCCAGAUCGUAUCAUUGGUGGAGGUCCACUUAUGAAAACCUUAGCAUCCAAGCAUUGCACCUUUGUUAGGAGAUCAAUGAAAUCUUGUUUCAAUACCUCUGAUUGCUGCUUAACAUCCAGGGCUCCUGUGUGUAUAAUGAUAGAUUUCACAGUUGGGUGGUCUCCAUGAUUAUUAUUAUUUUUUUGAGAUAUCCGACACCAUGUCGUUGGUAAAACACACUACUUUUGUGUUCUUCUCGCUGCAAAAACGUUUCACAUCCUUGACAGCUCCAUCAGCAACUAUUAAAGUUUGCAGUGCCAUAUUUUUCUUGCAUGAUUUAAUUUAAUACUUUUCAGUGGUGGUUGGGGAUGAGCAUUCUUUGCCAGGAUUUUGUCUCAAAUCUGUUUGUCUUCUAUUGACUUGC